This is a long non-coding RNA of Lingula anatina, 1267 nucleotides long. NCBI's taxonomy places the organism in Eukaryota, Metazoa, Brachiopoda, Lingulata, Lingulida, Lingulidae. The record is from RefSeq and is a predicted model, not a curated record.
GGUUUUUUAAUUGCAAUUUGCAGUUUUCCCAAAUUUAUUGUUUAAAAAAAUACACUUCAAUUGCACACAGUCAGUUGAUCAGCUUAUCUCAGGUUUUUACUGGUUUGAAGCUUCAGUUGUACAAAUUUCACAAACAUUGAACUGUAUUUGUAAAAAUUAUUAACGUUUAACUAUUUUCAUCCAUGGAAUUUGCCAAUGUGUUUUCUCAAAUAUAUUGUUAAAAAAUAAUCACUUUACUUACACUCAGUAAUAUAUAAACUGUUAGUUAUAUCUCAUAUUAUUACAGUUGUUGAACUUUAUUUGUAUACACAUUUCACUGAAAAUUUAAUUGUUGUGAUCAAGUUAACAUUAAAAAUAAUUAAAAAUGUAUGAAUGUACCAGUCUGGGCAGAAACAAGUGCGACCACUUGUGACAGGUCAUUCACCACAACACUUAUUUCUGCCAUAACUAUUUGGACGCUUGACAGUACAACAUAGGUUUAUAUUUUUCUCAAACCUUGCUCUGGUUGCCUGUAAGGCUUCUGUCUUUCAAAAAAUAAUGUUAGUCAUUUCAAAAAUCCAUUCUUCUGUCUUCUUUUUCAGGUGACCCUUUCCACACAGUAAUGGCUUCUUGGUGAGCUGAGUGUACCUGUUCAGUCAUGGCUAUUCCUACAGGAAAUGCAGGCAGCUACAAAAUAAAGUCAGCAGCAAGAUUAUGGCUGUUUCCAUGAGUACAAUACAUGUGGCAAGAUUAAGGACAUUGUCAAAUGGUGUGCCAACAGCCUGAUUCCAGAAAUGCAUUGUAGAGAGGAAACUGUGUCUGGUAUUGGUAGGAAUGUGAAGGCUGAAAUGGGUAUAUAUAGUUUUCCAGAUGAGAGUUAUGGGUGACCCCUUCCACACAGUAAUGGCUUCUUGGUGAGCUGAGUGUACCUGUUCAGUCAUGGCUAUUCCUACAGGAAAAUCAGGCAGCUGUAAAGACAGCAGCAAGAUCAUGGCUGUUUCCAUGAGUACAAUACAUGAUAUGUGGCAAAAUUAAGGACAUUGUCAAAUGGUGUGCCAACAGCCUGAUUCCAGAAAUGCAUUGUAGAGAGGAAACUGUGUCUGGUAUUGGUAGGAAUGUGAAGGCUGAAAUGGGUAUAUAUAGUUUUCCAGCUGAGAGUUAUGGGUGACCCUUUCCACACAGUAAUGGCUUCUUGGUGAGCUGAGUGUACCUGUUCAGUCAUGGCUAUUCCUACAGGAAAAGCAGGCAGCUGUAAAGACAGCAGCAAGAUCAUGGCUGUUUCCAUGAG